AACGAACGCUGGCGGCGCGCCUAAUACAUGCAAGUCGAGCGAGAAGACGUAGCAAUACGUUUGUAAAGCGGCGAACGGGUGAGGAAUACAUCGGGUAACCUACCCUCGAGUGGGGAAUAACUAGCCGAAGGUUAGCUAAUACCGCGUACGCUCCUUGGACUUCGGUUCAGGGAGGAAAGCGAUACCCGUGGGUACCGCGCUCUUGGAUGGGGCU
RNAcentral lists this ribosomal RNA (214 nucleotides) under uncultured bacterium. RNAcentral describes it as "partial 16S ribosomal RNA". It matches the Rfam family "Bacterial small subunit ribosomal RNA", at positions 29 to 232 of the family's 1533-position model. The record is from RNAcentral.